AACGACAAGCAGAAGCACCCGCUUCUCACCUGUUUGACGUCCCUGGAGGAUAGUUGACUGGUUCAUCACGAUUCAUGUUUACGAAUGAGGAGAUGUGUGGGUGCAAGUAUGUACCGACACUUUUUUUAUGUA
RNAcentral lists this small RNA (132 nucleotides) under Oceanobacillus oncorhynchi. RNAcentral's name for it is "L20_leader". It matches the Rfam family "Ribosomal protein L20 leader". Rfam says of the family: This family is a putative r-protein leader autoregulatory structure found in B. subtilis and other low-GC Gram-positive bacteria. The record is from RNAcentral. Lineage: Bacteria; Bacillati; Bacillota; Bacilli; Caryophanales; Bacillaceae.